CCUACGGGUCGCACCAGUGGGGAAUAUUGCACAAUGGGCGCAAGCCUGAUGCAGCCAUGCCGCGUGUAUGAAGAAGGCCUUCGGGUUGUAAAGUACUUUCAGCGAGGAGGAAGGCGAUAAGGUUAAUAACCUUGUCGAUUGACGUUACUCGCAGAAGAAGCACCGGCUAACUCCGUGCCAGCAGCCGCGGUAAUACGGAGGGUACAAGCGUUAAUCGGAAUUACUGGGCGUAAAGCGCUCGCAGGCGGUCUGUCAAGUCGGAUGUGAAAUCCCCGGGCUCAACCUGGGAACUGCAUUCGAAACUGGCAGGCUAGAGUCUUGUAGAGGGGGGUAGAAUUCCAGGUGUAGCAGUGAAAUACGUAGAGAUCUGGAGGAAUACCGGUGGCGAGGGCGGCCCCCUGGACAAAGGCUGACGCUCAGGUGCGAAAGCGUGGGGAGCAAACAGGAUUAGAUACCCUAGUAGUC
Molecule: ribosomal RNA, 465 nt
Filed under: uncultured bacterium
Lineage: Bacteria
Description: bacterial SSU rRNA
Rfam family: Bacterial small subunit ribosomal RNA
Source: RNAcentral